Molecule: ribosomal RNA, 429 nt
Filed under: uncultured bacterium
Lineage: Bacteria
Description: bacterial SSU rRNA
Rfam family: Bacterial small subunit ribosomal RNA
Source: RNAcentral
GAUGAACGCUAGCGGUGUGCCUAAUGCAUGCAAGUCGAACGGGAUCCUUUGGAUUCGCCUGAAGGUGAGAGUGGCGAACGGGUGAGUAACACGUAGGUGACCUGCCCCGGAGAGGGGGACAACCACUGGAAACGGUGGCUAAUACCCCAGAUGUUAUUGCGCUUAGAAAGCAAUUACUAAAGUUCCGGCGCUCCGGGAGGGGCCUGCGGCCCAUCAGCUUGUUGGUAAGGUAAUGGCUUACCAAGGCUAAGACGGGUAGGGGGCGUGAGAGCGUGACCCCCCACACUGGUACUGAGACACGGACCAGAUACCUGCGGGUAGCAGCAGCAAGGAAUAUUGCCCAAUGGACGAAAGUCUGAGGCAGCAACACCGCGUGGAGGAUGAAGGCCUUGGUGUAACGUCCUUUCUGGGGUAAGAGAAAGGACGGUA